GGUGAUAUAGCUUAGCUUGGUUAGAGCACAGCACUCAUAACGCUGAGGUCGGUGGUUCAAAUCCACCUAUCACUA
This is a transfer RNA of Candidatus Profftella armatura, 75 nucleotides long. It matches the Rfam family "tRNA". Rfam says of the family: Transfer RNA (tRNA) molecules are approximately 80 nucleotides in length. Their secondary structure includes four short double-helical elements and three loops (D, anti-codon, and T loops). Lineage: Bacteria; Pseudomonadati; Pseudomonadota; Betaproteobacteria. The record is from Rfam.